Molecule: unclassified non-coding RNA, 53 nt
Filed under: SARS coronavirus BJ01
Lineage: Riboviria; Orthornavirae; Pisuviricota; Pisoniviricetes; Nidovirales; Coronaviridae
Description: RNA leader sequence
Source: RNAcentral
CCAGGAAAAGCCAACCAACCUCGAUCUCUUGUAGAUCUGUUCUCUAAACGAAC